RNAcentral lists this transfer RNA (73 nucleotides) under Cordylochernes scorpioides. RNAcentral's name for it is "tRNA-Thr". It matches the Rfam family "tRNA". Rfam says of the family: Transfer RNA (tRNA) molecules are approximately 80 nucleotides in length. Their secondary structure includes four short double-helical elements and three loops (D, anti-codon, and T loops). Lineage: Eukaryota; Metazoa; Arthropoda; Arachnida; Pseudoscorpiones; Chernetidae. The record is from RNAcentral.
UCCAGGGUAGCCUAGUGGUCAUGGCAUCUGCCCGGUAAGCGGAAGGUCGUGGGUUCGAUUCCAAUCCCUUGAA